UGGGAUGGGGCGGACCGAUGGGCGGGGUUGACGGGAGAGGGCGGGCGGAGUUCCCGGGAACUGCGCCCCACCCCCCUCCCCGCACCCCUCCUGGCCCUGCCGGCCGGCUGUUGAGUUCCGGGAACACUGAGGCCCCGACUUCGGCGGCUCCAGCAGCGCCUUGCGAACAGUGGAGAAGGCUCGGUGGGUCCCCAGCGCCGGGCAGGCUGGCUGUCCCGUCCCACUGAUUUGGACUCGCUGUGGUUUCUCUGCCCCCCGUCUCUCCACACCGGCGUUUUAAACUGUGUUUUGCUGUCUGGCUGGCGUUUCCUGGGCCUCGAACUUGUGUACCCAGUGUCGUCAUCACUGGGGUGCUUAAAAGCAGAAGACGGAGAUAGGAGUGAGUCAGAGGGAGCGUGAGGCUGGAGGAAGAAUCACAGAUGUGCAUCGUCGCUGACUGGAGAUGGACUAAGGGAGCCAUAAAGCAAGCAGUGCAAGUGGCUUUUAGAAGCUGGAAAAGCCAAGGAAAUUGAGCCCCGCGACAGCCUCCAGACGGGAAGCGAGCCCACCUUCAUUUUAGCCUAUGAGUCCCACAUCAGACUGCAGCAGACCUGUGAGAUGAGAAAGUGUGUUCUUUUAAGCCACUGAGUUGGUGGUGGUUUGUUCUGGCAGCGACUGGAACUUACACAGAUGGACAUCUGAAGGACCGUGGGGAGGCUCUUAGGGAGCUAUAGUGUUGUCCAGGGUUGAGGAGAGCAGGGUGGGUCAACCCAGUUGCCAAAUUGACACACUUACAAUAUCAGAUAACUAGGAUUCAACCAGCCAGGAUGUUUGGAAGACGGGAGCAAGUGGAUUCUUGGACUGCUCUGGAAAGUAUCUGUCCCUGUUCUCUUGUAACACUGGUUGUGUUCUUUAUAUAUUCACAGUACUAAGGUCAGUCUUACUCUCCGAUGAGUCAGGAAAACCAUCAGAUUCUUGGAAGAAAUCAGAGCCUAGCAAUUGAGCCAUUUCCAGCAUAGUUUGGUGACUUUGUGAAAUCUAGUAUUAUAUUCUCAGCAUUAAAAUUUGGGGUGAAAAAAGGUUUAGGGAUAUUUUGGCCUUGUAAUAGUAGGUUGUCAUUAUUUAUGAUGCUAACUGUGUUUCAGCAUCCACUUCCAUAGGCCUCUGGAAAUCAAGCAUGACCAUAGGUUUUAUCCGUAUCACAAAGAAAUGUUUUUAAUCUCAUCCCACUUUUCAGCAACUCUUGUCAGCACUUUUGUCCUUGGCAGCCAGUAAAUCAGGUGGGAAGGGGAAUCUUAGAGACAUUGCCAUUUCUUCCUUCAGCAUCUGAGGGCACGUGCUCUGGGGUGUCAGGAUUUGCUAGUAUUUGGUUUUCACUGUUUCUUUCCACACCCAAUUACAAUUGGGAGGCGCAUCGCUGCCUUCUGACUGUCCCAGAUGUUUAAGAAUCAUUUAGGAGCCCAGCAGUACAUUUCCUUGCUGUUUGUAUAGCUUGAGCUUUUAGUUGUGAAUGGAUUGCACCUUUUCCAGCCCACGUCACAGCCCACAAAAGGAUCAUUGCCUGAAUGAAAGCCAGCUUCCCUUGUACCAUGAGUUCCCACCAGUAAACAGAACAGAAGGCUGUCGAGUUUGCCUACCCUGUUACAUAUUACAUAUACUACAAGAAUGGAUUUGUAUUUUCUCUCUAGUAGUCUGUUCAAUUUUAAAACUAAAUACAUGUUGAAACACUCAAGUGAUAACAAUCACUCUGCUGUAUCAUGUGCUGUUGAUAAGAUGUGACUUCCAACAGAGUAAUUUAAUAAAGAAAUUUUGUCAGUAGCUUGGUUUUUUUUUUUUUUUGGUCACAGCAAUUAAAUUGGGCAUUAAAUUUGGAUUGACAGGUUCUCCGCAAUAUCAAGACUUUUACCCAUUUUAGCUGGGUGAUUCCUUGUUAGCCUGGGCUUCCUCUGUAUCCUUAUCAACAAAGCAGAUUGAUUUGGGCUCUGUUUGAAAAUUGUGUGGAAGUUUAUUUGUUUUUACACCAUUAUAUUUGCUGAGCACCAGCUUAUAUGAACUGAUUAACACAGACCGAACAUAGACGUUAUGGUAAGAAAAUAAACGAUUUUUGUGAAAAUCAUUAUUAAUCUUAAA
Molecule: long non-coding RNA, 2109 nt
Organism: Dama dama (fallow deer)
Lineage: Eukaryota; Metazoa; Chordata; Mammalia; Artiodactyla; Cervidae
Exons: 2
Source: RefSeq, a predicted model, not a curated record